Molecule: ribosomal RNA, 45 nt
Filed under: Pleurotus nebrodensis
Lineage: Eukaryota; Fungi; Basidiomycota; Agaricomycetes; Agaricales; Pleurotaceae
Also listed under: 1 other name
Description: partial 28S ribosomal RNA
Source: RNAcentral
GACCUCAAAUCAGGUAGGACUACCCGCUGAACUUAAGCAUAUCAU